Molecule: ribosomal RNA, 253 nt
Filed under: uncultured bacterium
Lineage: Bacteria
Description: partial 16S ribosomal RNA
Rfam family: Bacterial small subunit ribosomal RNA
Source: RNAcentral
UACGAAGGGGGCUAGCGUUGUUCGGAAUUACUGGGCGUAAAGGGCUCGUAGGCGGCCAACUAAGUCAGACGUGAAAUCCCUCGGCUUAACCGGGGAACUGCAUCUGAUACUGGAUGGCUUGAGUUCGGGAGAGGUGAGUGGAACUGCGAGUGUAGAGGUGAAAUUCGUAGAUAUUCGCAAGAACACCAGUGGCGAAGGCGGCUCACUGGCCCGAUACUGACGCUGAGGCACGAAAGCGUGGGGAGCAAACAGG